UACGUAGGAGGCAAGCGUUGUCCGGAUUUACUGGGUGUAAAGGGUCCGCAGGCGGACAAGUAAGUCGGGGGUGAAAUCCUGCAGCUUAACUGCAGAACUGCCUUCGAUACUGCCUGUCUUGAAUACGGGAAAGGGUGACGGAAUUCCAGGUGUAGCGGUGAAAUGCUUAGAUAUCUGGAAGAACACCGGUUGCGAAGGCUGUUGCCUGGCCCGUUAUUGACGCUCAGGGACGAAAGCGUGGGGAUCAAACAGG
RNAcentral lists this ribosomal RNA (253 nucleotides) under uncultured bacterium. RNAcentral describes it as "partial 16S ribosomal RNA". It matches the Rfam family "Bacterial small subunit ribosomal RNA", at positions 524 to 776 of the family's 1533-position model. The record is from RNAcentral.